This 461-nucleotide ribosomal RNA is filed under the name uncultured bacterium. Its description in RNAcentral is "bacterial SSU rRNA". It matches the Rfam family "Bacterial small subunit ribosomal RNA", at positions 441 to 896 of the family's 1533-position model. The record is from RNAcentral.
GGGAAAGAAUGCCCCGGUGGCGAACCAGGGAGAGACGGUACCCAAGAAGGAAGCCCCGGCUAACUCCGUGCCAGCAGCCGCGGUAAUACGGAGGGGGCAAGCGUUGUUCGGAUUUACUGGGCGUAAAGGGUGUGUAGGCGGUCGCGUAAGUCUGGUGUGAAAUCUUCACCGCUCACCGGGAAGGGGUCACUGGAUACUGCGCGACUCGAGUAUGGUAGAGGCAAGCGGAAUUCCUGGUGUAGCGGUGGAAUGUGUAGAUAUCAGGAAGAACACCGGUGGCGAAGGCGGCUUGCUGGGCCAUCACUGACGCUGAGACACGAAAGCGUGGGGAGCAAACGGGAUUAGAUACCCCGGUAGUCCACGCUGUAAACGGUGCGCACUAGGUGUGAGGGGUAUCGACCCCCCUCGUGCCGCAGUUAACACAUUAAGUGCGCCGCCUGGGGAGCGCGGCCGCAAGGUUG